CACCGUACGUGACAGUCAGCGCUAACCUCUUCGAAAAUCUUGGUCUCAUCAGGCUGGGAAAUCUACAUACUUCUUACAACAAGACAACUGAGUGGCGCACUGGACCAGCUGUGGUAAAUGCUUUCUACUAUCCUGGCAGCAACGACGUUACGUUCCCGGCUGGGGUUCUUCAACCACCGUUCUACAAGUA
Ornithodoros turicata is the source of this 190-nucleotide long non-coding RNA. RefSeq lists it as uncharacterized. The record is from RefSeq and is a predicted model, not a curated record. The transcript has 3 exons. Lineage: Eukaryota; Metazoa; Arthropoda; Arachnida; Ixodida; Argasidae.